AGGGAUGUUGACUCCGGCAACGUAACCCGUUGACUCAUCGGAACCCAUUAAAUAACCGGAUCCCUCACUUACAACCCGUAACCCAGACCCGACCCGACUCAUCCUUCUUUCUGUUGGGCCUAACACUUAAUGGGCCUAAUUAUUAAACAAAUCCGGCCCAUUUAUAUAUGACCAUAAUCGAUUAACGAUUCAUCAUCUCUUCCCCAAAUCUGAGAAAUCGAUUUUUUAGGGUUCUUGGUGUUCAUCGUGAAAAGUUGAUUGAAGAAGGAGAGAGAGAAGAUGGACACAAGCUCGGGAUCUUCCUGUAGCAAUCGGAGUAGAUAUGGAGGUGGACAAGUUUGUGACUGUGGAUUGGCGGCAAAGAUUUUCAAAUCCAAAACGGAGCGUAAUCCAAAUCGAAGGUUCUAUGGAUGUGAGUUGUACAAGGUAUAUCUCGUAAGUGAUUCAUAACAAUCUUGAGGUGAUGAGAUUUGACACAUAUGGAGUCGUUUGAUUAAGUUGUUUACCUCAUCGGAACAAGAAUUCACUCGCGACUUUUUCUUCUCUCUCGGUUUAAAGCAACGAUUACCAGAUUACUCUUCUCUACAUAUGAUUUCAAGCAACAUUUACUCUCGGAAAAAAAAACCCUAGGUGAAAUGGAGAUUUCGUCUUCACCCAGAUCAUAAAACGCACCCACUCGUAAUGGAUGAGAAACAUUUUACGGAUUAGGGUUACGGCAAAUUUGAUGGGCUGGAUUUGUGGGUUAAUUGGGCCCAUUAAGUUUCAGGUCCAGCAAAAAGAAGGAUGGGUCGGGUCUGGGUUAUGGGUCGUAAUUGAGGGAUCCGGUUAUUUAAUGGGUUCCGAUGAGUCAACGGGUUACGUUGCCGGAGUCAACGUCCCUGUGUUCUGAGAUUUUAUGGUGAUGGUGUUUAACACAUAACGU
Molecule: long non-coding RNA, 922 nt
Filed under: Arabidopsis lyrata
Lineage: Eukaryota; Viridiplantae; Streptophyta; Magnoliopsida; Brassicales; Brassicaceae
Description: long non-coding RNA (ALYR_LNC001076)
Source: RNAcentral